UACGUAGGGCGCAAGCGUUGUCCGGAAUUAUUGGGCGUAAAGAGCUCGUAGGCGGUUUGUCGCGUCUGCUGUGAAAACUGGAGGCUCAACCUCCAGCCUGCAGUGGGUACGGGCAGACUAGAGUGCGGUAGGGGAGAUUGGAAUUCCUGGUGUAGCGGUGGAAUGCGCAGAUAUCAGGAGGAACACCGAUGGCGAAGGCAGAUCUCUGGGCCGUAACUGACGCUGAGGAGCGAAAGCGUGGGGAGCGAACAGG
Molecule: ribosomal RNA, 253 nt
Filed under: uncultured bacterium
Lineage: Bacteria
Description: partial 16S ribosomal RNA
Rfam family: Bacterial small subunit ribosomal RNA
Source: RNAcentral